GGGCCGUGGUAUACUGACCAGGCGGAAGGUAGCAUAAUCAUUAGCCUCUUGAUUGGGGGCUAGAAUGAAUGGUCUGACUAGAGGCAACCUGUCUCCCUUACUAAAUUGAACUUAAUCUUUAAGUGAAAAAGCUUAAAUAUUCUUGGAGGACGAUAAGACCCUAUAGAUCUUCACAUUCAUCUCUUUUACCUAACGGUAGGUAAACGGGCAAAAGAAAAGAAUGUUUGGUUGGGGCGACAAUAAGAGUAGAAUAAACACUUAAGAAUAUGUGCACACAAAUAAGUGACCAUUGAUCCUUAGAUGAAUAUAGAACAAGUUACCUUAGGGAUAACAGCGUAAUUCUUUUUGAGAGUCCAAAUCGACAAAAGAGUUUGCGACCUCGAUGUUGGUUCAGGGACCCUAUUUGGUGCAGCAGCUUAGUUAGGUAGUCUGUUCGACUAUUAAAUCCCUACGUGAUCUGAGUUCA
Molecule: ribosomal RNA, 466 nt
Filed under: Artemia sinica
Lineage: Eukaryota; Metazoa; Arthropoda; Branchiopoda; Anostraca; Artemiidae
Description: partial 16S ribosomal RNA
Rfam family: Archaeal large subunit ribosomal RNA
Source: RNAcentral